RNAcentral lists this long non-coding RNA (1187 nucleotides) under Marmota monax (woodchuck). Lineage: Eukaryota; Metazoa; Chordata; Mammalia; Rodentia; Sciuridae. The record is from RNAcentral.
CAUGCUUAUUAGAUAAGAUUUAUCACCAGGAUAUAUAUAACAUACACCUGAUUGCUUAAUGAAAAUAAUAUAAUUUACGAUAUAUUUUCAGACAUUGGUUUUGUCUAAUUUCUAUAGGUUUCAUAGGAGGCUUAAGAUUCCUUUGUUGGGCUAUGUGUGGUCACACACCUGUAAUUCUAGUGACUUAGGAGGCUAAGGCAAAAAGAUCAAAAGUUUGAGGCCAGAGGCCAGCCUCAGUAACUUAGCAAGGCCCUAAGCAACUGAGUAAGACCCUAUCUUAAAUUAAAAAAUAAAAAGGGCUGGGGAUGUGUCUCAAUGGUUAAGCAUUUCAGGGUUCAAUCCCCAGUACCAAAACAACAACAACAACAACAAAAACUAUUGACUAAUAAAAACAUUAAAAAAAAAAAAAGGUUUCUAGGGGCUCAGUUGGUAGAAUGUUUGCCUUCACAUGCACAAGGCCCUGAGUUCAAUCCCCAGCACCAAAAAAAACAAAACAACAACAACAAAAAAAAAACGUUGCAUCCAUACAAAGCCUUUUUUCUUGUCAUUUCCUCCUAAACAAUAGUGUAACAACUAUUUACUUAGCAUUUAUAUUAUAUUAGAUAUUAGAAGUAAUCUGGAGAUGACUUGAGGUAUACAGGAGGAUGUGUGCAGGUCAUAUGCAAAUACCAUGCCAUGUUGUAUAAGGACUUGAGUAGAUUUUGGUGUUUCAGAUGGUGGGAAGCUGGAACCAAUCCCCCACAGAUAUGGUGGGAUGGCUGUACAUAGUUUCACUCACACAUUCAAAUGUACCUUGAAAAGGAAAAUAACUCGUCUAAAUUCUCUAUCAAUUAAAUCCUUGACUAAAGUAAAACCACAUUGUAAAAGGUUUUUAACACUAAUUUAGAGGACUUUAUACAUAAAUAAUAGUUAAUUUUUUUGUAAGAUUCUCUAAGAUUGUAAAAUGAAGUUCCUGUUCUUUCAAUAAAAUUAUUACUAAAAGCCAAUUGUGAAAUAGACUGUUUUGGGAUAGGAAGUGUUUCAUCAUUUCUUUUGUUUCUUUGGAUUUUGAAUUUUGACUUUCUUAAGGACAUAAAAUAUUGUACUAUGGAAGAUGAAACAUUAGGAAGAGCAUUUAUUUUCUUGGUGCCAGUGGUACCAGUGGGUUAGACCAGUCUUCUUUGCCUCUGUUUUAUGCAUAUUCUCAC